RNAcentral lists this ribosomal RNA (445 nucleotides) under uncultured bacterium. RNAcentral's name for it is "partial 16S ribosomal RNA". It matches the Rfam family "Bacterial small subunit ribosomal RNA", at positions 354 to 796 of the family's 1533-position model. The record is from RNAcentral.
GUGAGGAAUAUUGGUCAAUGGGCGGGAGCCUGAACCAGCCAAGUCGCGUGAAGGAAGAAGGAUCUAUGGUUCGUAAACUUCUUUUGCAGGGGAAUAAAGUGCAGGACGUGUCCUGUUUUGUAUGUACCCUGAGAAUAAGGAUCGGCUAACUCCGUGCCAGCAGCCGCGGUAAUACGGAGGAUCCGAGCGUUAUCCGGAUUUAUUGGGUUUAAAGGGUGCGUAGGUGGUUUGAUAAGUCAGCGGUGAAAGUUUGCAGCUUAACUGUAAAAAUGCCGUUGAAACUGUCGGACUUGAGUGUAAAUGAGGUAGGCGGAAUGCGUGGUGUAGCGGUGAAAUGCAUAGAUAUCACGCAGAACUCCGAUUGCGAAGGCAGCUUACUAAGCUACAACUGACACUGAAGCACGAAAGCGUGGAGAUCAAACAGGAUUAGAAACCCCAGUAGUCC